UACGGGGGGGGCAAGCGUUGUUCGGAAUUACUGGGCGUAAAGGGCUCGUAGGCGGCCAACUAAGUCGGACGUGAAAUCCCCAGGCUCAACCUGGGAACUGCGUCCGAUACUGGAUGGCUUGAAUCCGGGAGAGGGAUGCAGAAUUCCAGGUGUAGCGGUGAAAUGCGUAGAUAUCGUAAGGAAGACCAGUGGCGAAGGCGGGUCUCUGGACAGUUCCUGACGCUGAGGCACGAAGGUCAGGGGAGCAAACGGG
RNAcentral lists this ribosomal RNA (253 nucleotides) under uncultured bacterium. RNAcentral describes it as "partial 16S ribosomal RNA". It matches the Rfam family "Bacterial small subunit ribosomal RNA", at positions 524 to 776 of the family's 1533-position model. The record is from RNAcentral.